RNAcentral lists this ribosomal RNA (382 nucleotides) under uncultured eukaryote. Its description in RNAcentral is "partial 18S ribosomal RNA". It matches the Rfam family "Eukaryotic small subunit ribosomal RNA", at positions 592 to 976 of the family's 1831-position model. The record is from RNAcentral.
CAAUAGCGUAUAUUAAAGUUGUUGCAGUUAAAAAGCUCGUAGUUGGAUUUCUGGUUGAAGCGACCGGUCGGGCGUUGAUUCGUCUGCAUUGGAGUCGGUUUUGGCCAUCCUCUAGGAAAGUGCGUCUGGUAUUAAGUUAUCGGGCGUAUGAUCCUGGUCUUUUACUGUGAAAAAAUUAGAGUGUUUAAAGCAGGCCUUCGCCUUGAAUACAUUAGCAUGGAAUAAUAAGAUAGGACUUUGGUCUAUUUUGUUGGUUUGCAGACCGAAGUAAUGAUUAAUAGGGAUAGUUGGGGGUAUUUAUAUUCCGAUGUCAGAGGUGAAAUUCUUAGAUUUUCGGAAGAUAAACUUAUGCGAAAGCAUUUACCAAGGAUGUUUUCAUUAA